This 510-nucleotide ribosomal RNA is filed under the name Scaptomyza graminum. RNAcentral's name for it is "partial 16S ribosomal RNA". It matches the Rfam family "Bacterial large subunit ribosomal RNA", at positions 1825 to 2597 of the family's 2925-position model. The record is from RNAcentral. Lineage: Eukaryota; Metazoa; Arthropoda; Insecta; Diptera; Drosophilidae.
GUCUUUUUGAAUUAAAUUUAAAGUCUAACCUGCCCACUGAAAAUUUUAAAUGGCCGCAGUAUUCUAACUGUGCAAAGGUAGCAUAAUCAUUAGUCUUUUAAUUGAAGGCUGGAAUGAAUGGUUGGACGAAAUAUUAACUGUUUCAUUUAAAUUUUUUAUAGAAUUUUAUUUUUUAGUCAAAAAGCUAAAAUUUAUUUAAAAGACGAGAAGACCCUAUAAAUCUUUAUAUUUUGUUUAUUUUAGUUAUAAAGAUUAUUUUUAUUAUAAUAAAUCGAAAUAUUUUAUUGGGGUGAUAUUAAAAUUUAAAAAACUUUUAAUUUUUAAAACCAUUAAUAUAUGAAUAAUUGAUCCAUUAAUAAUGAUUAUAAAUUUAAGUUACUUUAGGGAUAACAGCGUAAUUUUUUUGGAGAGUUCAUAUCGAUAAAAAAGAUUGCGACCUCGAUGUUGGAUUAAGAUAUAAUUUUGGGUGUAGCCGUUCAAAUUUUAAGUCUGUUCGACUUUUAAAUUCUU